CACAGCUCCUUGCUCAGCUGCGCUCUCCUGGCUGGAGCCCUGGCCCUGGUCCUGGCCCUGUCCAUGCC
This is a microRNA precursor of Chinchilla lanigera (long-tailed chinchilla), 68 nucleotides long. NCBI's taxonomy places the organism in Eukaryota, Metazoa, Chordata, Mammalia, Rodentia, Chinchillidae. The record is from Ensembl.